AUUGAACGCUGGCGGCAGGCCUAACACAUGCAAGUCGAACGGUAACAGGAAGCAGCUUGCUGCUUUGCUGACGAGUGGCGGACGGGUGAGUAAUGUCUGGGAAACUGCCUGAUGGGGGGGGAUAACUACUGGAAACGGUAGCUAAUACCGCAUAACGUCGCAAGACCAAAGAGGGGGACCUUCGGGCCUCUUGCCAUCGGAUGUGCCCAGAUGGGAUUAGCUUGUUGGUGGGGUAACGGCUCACCAAGGCGACGAUCCCUAGCUGGUCUGAGAGGAUGACCAGCCACACUGGAACUGAGACACGGUCCAGACUCCUACGGGAGGCAGCAGUGGGGAAUAUUGCACAAUGGGCGCAAGCCUGAUGCAGCCAUGCCGCGUGUAUGAAGAAGGCCUUCGGGUUGUAAAGUACUUUCAGCGGGGAGGAAGGGAGUAAAGUUAAUACCUUUACUCAUUGACGUUACCCGCAGAAGAAGCACCGUCUAACUCCGUG
RNAcentral lists this ribosomal RNA (490 nucleotides) under uncultured bacterium. Its description in RNAcentral is "partial 16S ribosomal RNA". It matches the Rfam family "Bacterial small subunit ribosomal RNA", at positions 30 to 507 of the family's 1533-position model. The record is from RNAcentral.